Oryza nivara is the source of this 207-nucleotide non-coding RNA. The record is from Rfam. Lineage: Eukaryota; Viridiplantae; Streptophyta; Magnoliopsida; Poales; Poaceae.
AAUAAGUGUAGUUUUACACUAUUCACGUUUAAUAUUUGACUGUUCGUCUUAUUUGAAAAUUUUUAUGAUUAAUAUUUUUAUUGCUAUUAAAUGAUAAAACAUGAAUAGUAAUUUAUGCGUGACUAAAUAUUUUCAAAUUUUUCAUAAAUAUUUUAAAUAAUACGGAUGGUCAAAUGUUGGACACGGAUAUCUACGGCUACACUUGGU